Molecule: ribosomal RNA, 627 nt
Filed under: uncultured bacterium
Lineage: Bacteria
Description: bacterial SSU rRNA
Rfam family: Bacterial small subunit ribosomal RNA (bases 1-542)
Source: RNAcentral
CCUACGGGAGGCAGCAGUGGGGAAUUUUGGACAAUGGGGGCAACCCUGAUCCAGCAAUGCCGCGUGAGUGAAGAAGGCCUUCGGGUUGUAAAGCUCUUUUGUCAGGGAAGAAACGGUGAUCUCUAAUACAGAUUACUAAUGACGGUACCUGAAGAAUAAGCACCGGCUAACUACGUGCCAGCAGCCGCGGUAAUACGUAGGGUGCAAGCGUUAAUCGGAAUUACUGGGCGUAAAGCGUGCGCAGGCGGUUAUAUAAGUCAGAUGUGAAAUCCCCGGGCUCAACCUGGGAACUGCAUUUGAGACUGUAUGGCUAGAGUGUGUCAGAGGGGGGUAGAAUUCCACGUGUAGCAGUGAAAUGCGUAGAUAUGUGGAGGAAUACCGAUGGCGAAGGCAGCCCCCUGGGAUAACACUGACGCUCAUGCACGAAAGCGUGGGGAGCAAACAGGAUUAGAUACCCUGGUAGUCCACGCCCUAAACGAUGUCUACUAGUUGUCGGGUCUUAAUUGACUUGGUAACGCAGCUAACGCGUGAGGUAGACCGCCGUGGGGGUGGUACGGUCGCGAGAGUUAAACGUUACGAAGAGUUAGUUAGNGNGNGAGNGCGACGACGACGACGAGGAGGAGGAGG